UAUAGUACCAUAACUCGUAAAGUA
Molecule: non-coding RNA, 24 nt
Filed under: Arabidopsis thaliana (thale cress)
Lineage: Eukaryota; Viridiplantae; Streptophyta; Magnoliopsida; Brassicales; Brassicaceae
Source: RNAcentral